UACAGAGGGUGCAAGCGUUACUCGGAUUUACUGGGCGUAAAGCGUGCGUAGGCGGUUCAUUAAGUCGGUUGUGAAAUCCCUGGGCUUAACCUGGGAACUGCAGUCGAUACUGGUGGACUAGAAUGCGGUAGAGGGUGGCGGAACUCCGGGUGUAGCGGUGAAAUGCGUAGAUAUCCGGAAGAACACCGAUGGCGAAGGCAACCACCUGGGCCUGCAUUGACGCUGAGGUACGAAAGCGUGGGGAGCAAACAGG
This 253-nucleotide ribosomal RNA is filed under the name uncultured bacterium. Its description in RNAcentral is "partial 16S ribosomal RNA". It matches the Rfam family "Bacterial small subunit ribosomal RNA", at positions 524 to 776 of the family's 1533-position model. The record is from RNAcentral.